RNAcentral lists this ribosomal RNA (1370 nucleotides) under uncultured bacterium. Its description in RNAcentral is "bacterial SSU rRNA". It matches the Rfam family "Bacterial small subunit ribosomal RNA". The record is from RNAcentral.
GAAUUCGCCCUUAGAGUUUGAUCCUUGCUCAGGACGAACGCUGGCGGCGCGCCUAACACAUGCAAGUCGAACGAGCGAGAGAGAGCUUGCUUUCUCGAGCGAGUGGCGAACGGGUGAGUAACGCGUGAGGAACCUGCCUCAAAGAGGGGGACAACAGUUGGAAACGACUGCUAAUACCGCAUAAGCCCACGGUGCCGCAUGGCACAGAGGGAAAAGGAGCAAUCCGCUUUGAGAUGGCCUCGCGUCCGAUUAGCUAGUUGGUGAGGUAACGGCCCACCAAGGCGACGAUCGGUAGCCGGACUGAGAGGUUGAACGGCCACAUUGGGACUGAGACACGGCCCAGACUCCUACGGGAGGCAGCAGUGGGGAAUAUUGCACAAUGGGGGAAACCCUGAUGCAGCGACGCCGCGUGGAGGAAGAAGGUCUUCGGAUUGUAAGCUCCUGUUGUUGGGGAAGAUAAUGACGGUACCCAACAAGGAAGUGACGGCUAACUACGUGCCAGCAGCCGCGGUAAAACGUAGGUCACAAGCGUUGUCCGGAAUUACUGGGUGUAAAGGGAGCGCAGGCGGGAAGACAAGUUGGAAGUGAAAUCUAUGGGCUCAACCCAUAAACUGCUUUCAAAACUGUUUUUCUUGAGUAGUGCAGAGGUAGGCGGAAUUCCCGGUGUAGCGGUGGAAUGCGUAGAUAUCGGGAGGAACACCAGUGGCGAAGGCGGCCUACUGGGCACCAACUGACGCUGAGGCUCGAAAGUGUGGGUAGCAAACAGGAUUAGAUACCCUGGUAGUCCACACCGUAAACGAUGAUUACUAGGUGUUGGAGGAUUGACCCCUUCAGUGCCGCAGUUAACACAAUAAGUAAUCCACCUGGGGAGUACGACCGCAAGGUUGAAACUCAAAGGAAUUGACGGGGGCCCGCACAAGCAGUGGAGUAUGUGGUUUAAUUCGACGCAACGCGAAGAACCUUACCAAGUCUUGACAUCCCUUGACAGACAUAGAAAUAUGUAAUCUCUUCGGAGCAAGGAGACAGGUGGUGCAUGGUUGUCGUCAGCACGUGUCGUGAGAUGUUGGGUUAAGUCCCGCAACGAGCGCAACCCUUAUGGUCAGUUACUACGCAAGAGGACUCUGGCCAGACUGCCGUUGACAAAACGGAGGAAGGUGGGGAUGACGUCAAAUCAUCAUGCCCUUUAUGACUUGGGCUACACACGUACUACAAUGGCGUUAAACAAAGAGAAGCAAGACCGCGAGGUGGAGCAAAACUCAGAAACAACGUCCCAGUUCGGACUGCAGGCUGCAACUCGCCUGCACGAAGUCGGAAUUGCUAGUAAUCGUGGAUCAGCACGCCCCGGUGAAAACGUUCCCGGGCCUUGCACA